GACGAACGCUGGCGGCGCGCUUAACACAUGCAAGUCGAGCGAGAACCAGGCCUUCGGGCCUGGGGACAGCGGCGAACGGGUGAGUAACACGUGGGUAAUCAACCCUCGAUACUGGGAUAGCCCGGGGAAACCCGGAUUAAUACCGGAUGGCCCUUUGGAUCCUUGGAUCUGAAGGAAAAGGUAGCUUCGGCCUCCGAUCGAGGACGAGCCCGCGGCGGAUUAGCUUGUUGGUGAGGUAACGCUCACCAAGGCGACGAUCCGUAGCUGGUCUGAGAGGACGAUCAGCCACACUGGGACUGAGACACGGGCCCAGACUCCUACGGGAGGGCAGCAGUGGGGAAUCUUGCGCUAAUGCGGGAAACCGUGACGCAGCGACGCCGCGUGAGGGAAGAA
Molecule: ribosomal RNA, 393 nt
Filed under: uncultured bacterium
Lineage: Bacteria
Description: bacterial SSU rRNA
Rfam family: Bacterial small subunit ribosomal RNA
Source: RNAcentral